This is a long non-coding RNA of Panicum virgatum (switchgrass), 5952 nucleotides long. RefSeq lists it as uncharacterized. The transcript has 3 exons. The record is from RefSeq and is a predicted model, not a curated record. NCBI's taxonomy places the organism in Eukaryota, Viridiplantae, Streptophyta, Magnoliopsida, Poales, Poaceae.
GGUACUCCUCGGCCUGGCCCAUCCUUGUUUGGCCCGUGUAAUCGGAUGGCCGUUUGUUCAGGCAUCAACUUGGCCACGGCCCACCCGAGGCUAGAGGACUGCCACAGAGAGACACGAAAGUCUCCGGCUCCCCUGUCGUCGCCGGCCAUGUUGGCUGGUCGCCGUCGCCGUCCGCCCGGCCCCUCUUCUCGGUUCCGCCUCCCCGCUUCUCAAUUUGAAAGCCCGAGCGCAAAUUGCCGCCGCCGAUGCUGACGCGGCGUUUGCGGCAGUGUUUCGUCGAACACCCGUUUCUUUGUGGCGUAACAGCUGAUGGAGCUGAUAUAAUCAUCAAACGAUUGCUUCCAUAGAGCUUCAAAGAUGUCUCAAAGAUAAAUAGAUACAAUCAUGAAGACAGCGGUAGCAACGCCUUCUGGAAUAUUCCCUGUCCUGGGGCUAGGAUGGCCAAUGGGUCAUAGGCAUUUUUCCUUCGUAGAAAUGUCUCCCACCUUGCCUCAAAGUGGGCCUUCCACUCCUGUUCAGUGUUGUAGUUUGGCAGAUAUUGUUUCACCCCAAUACCUGCCUUGUCAGAGAAUUCUAUUAUCUGGUUGUCGAGGUUCAGUGUAUGUUCGACGCUGUAGGGGCCUGAUGAAGAUGGUGCUGAGGAUAGGAAUCCCACUAGGUAGAAAACUUCCUCAUCUGGUAUGACUACUGACGUUCUGUUGUCCCAUCUGCACGAAAUGGAAAUAGUCAGUCAAUCAAACUACAGAAGGCAUAUCACCGUGAGGUUUCUGGUUUCACAUAUCAUCUAAUUACCUGAAUUUUUUUAAUCAGCGGCUAAUUACCUGAAUUUGUUUACUGGAUAGAGCAAUAUGGGACCAUUGUUGCUGUCUUUCAGUAUUUUCCCAAAGACCUCCCGUGCGAAUGUGUGGAUCGAACUUUUUGGAAUCAUGAGAUUUAGCCAUGGGUGUGGGACUUCCCACAUCCCCUUAGCUCUCAGUUUGACCUCAGAGGAAUGCACCCUAUCCAGGAAUUCGAUGUAGGUGACAUCUGUGUGAAAUAGGGAUGGAGGUAUAUGUCUAAGUUGAUGCAGCAGGUUGUUGACCUCCUGCAGACAUGUGUACACACAAAAUUUGAUCAUUCACAACUUGAUUUGAUUAUUAGUCACAAGUCAUAACCAUAUUGAUGGCAUGCGAUUUGUCUGCUCACCUGUUCCAUGUUGUCCACCUCUUCAGGGUUGUAGUUCUUCGUCAUCUCGAGGCAGAAGAGCACUCCGCCAUCCGACUCGAACUGGCUAGCCCACACUGGAUCCUGUGGGUUAAACGAUGAUCUCCAGUUGUUCAGGAUGCCUGUCCUGUUGAUGAUUACGAAACCCUCUAUAUAAUCAAAGGUCCUUUCUACCGAAAUAAGCAUCUCCUGAUCCUCUGUGAAGCUUGUGAAGUCUGAGUAGAGAACUCUAAUCCACCUCACCUAUUGCAUUUUCAAAUCAUUAACAAGUGGAUUUUUGCUAACAUUAAGUUGAUAUAAAUUAAUUGUUUUGUUGUACCAUUUUUGGAGCUGGCUCGAGGGCAAUCCUGGCUCUAGUGAUGAUGCCGAACUGACCUAGUCCACCAAGAGCAGCAUGGAAGAGAUCAGAGUUCUGCUCAGGUGAGCAAGUGACGAUGUCUCCUCUUCCUGCAUUUGACAGUCACGAUAUAGAAGUCAGAUAAGAAUCCAUUCUGUUGCUUUGGAAACUUCUAAAAUCUAAAUCAUUAUAUCAUCAAGGUAUGUUCAAUACCUGUCACAAUCUCAAGCUCCUUGACAUUGCUGAUUUGUGGGCCAUGCCGGAACGUCUGCCCACUGACCCCUGCAUUCGACAGCGUGCCUCCAAUUGUGAGGUGGAGAUAAUCAGUCCAUGACUUUGGUGCCAGACCAUACUUAAAUGUCUCGUGCAAGACAUUUAUCCAGAGUUCUCCUCCUGAGACAUCAACAUAGGGUGAUGCACCAGAGUGCACCUGCAUUCGGGCAGUCCGGAGGGAUUCCAUUUUGAUGACGAUCCCUCCAGCUGACUGGCACUGCCCUCGGAGUGAGUGUCCAUGACCACGAGCCGCCACUGUGAGCGAUGAGUGCUCACCCCUCAAGAAAACAUGCCUGACAGUAGUGGCAAUGUCAUCUACUGAGCCUGGAUGAAGCACAGCAGCUGGCUUGAAGCUAGAGAGAUUUCCAAAGUCCUGGGCAGCGGCAGCGGUAGACAUGUCGCUGAAGCUGAAAUGGCCAUCAAGGGGUAGUUUAUUGAGGGAUGCAAGCACAUCUUGGUCAGGCACGUGUGCAGUGGUAACUUCACCAAAAACAAAUAAAAGGAAAAACUUCAGGUAUUGCAGAACUGACGGUUUCAUGGCUCUACCUACAGCUCAAGAACCGACUAGUUCGACAGUUCAAAAUUUUGAGGAGAAAGAUGAAAGCGGUAGUACGAUAGUGUGUUUCAGUGCAGGAGCAGAGCAAUGGGAAUGGAGAUGGAGGGAGGGAAGGAGAUUUAAAGGGGGCACUUGGAGGGUUUGCAUGUGGACUAGUGUGGGGGGUGGUGUCGUCAAACCAGACUUUGGAACUGUUUGGUAGAUUAGGAUCAGUAUGAGAACAGGCUUGGCUGCAAAAUAUGGAUGCAGAGUUGCAGACAUAUUGCACUGGUGCAAGUGUUCCUAUCUAGAGUAUCUUGCUUUGUUGCUUCUGCUUGAAGCAUGGCACAAACAUGUGUCAGUAAAUAAAUGGAGGAAGGAUGAAGAGAUGUAGUCCAUUCAUUAGACUCAGUCCAUCAUGGUUCAUAUCAUCCAUUACACCAAGCCCAUGAGGACAGUGACAUUGCAAGGAACGUGCAGUGACAGAUAUAUAUUUUGAAUUGUAUAUGCGAUGCAUAUCUCAGCAGGAUUGAACUUCUAGUCGAGCCAGAUGGUGGUAACCUAGCAGAUAUGUAAGUGGCAGACCUGAUUUCUGUCUUGCAAGGCCAACUGGAUGCUUAAAAUCCGGUUUCAUGUGCAGAAUUUCGUGUCAGUCUUCAGCAGGAUCAUCUGUAGAUGUGAAUAUAUUUGUGCCUUUGGACUUGUCAGUGGCAAACAUCCUCUUGAGCAUAUCUUAUAAAGACAUAAAGUUGCAUAUCUAUUUCUGCAAAACAUACAUGUCGAUAAGAAUAAUCCUUUCUAGCCAAUUUUAGCAAUGUUAAUAUAUCGCUAAAAGAAAUUGCCAAUAUUUGUUCUUAGCUCAAUCGUAUGGACAUGGAAUGCUGAAGGAUUCUUUUCCUUUGUGGUGACCGAGAGCUUUCACAUGAUAAUGUAGAAUCCCUUUGCCAACAUGGUGUUGAUUGUUAUACCCUAGCUACUUACCCAGUUAUUCCUUCUAAGGUUUCUCCGGAAGAAAUGGCAUGUUCUUGUAGAGCCUUUUUUCCAAGUUAUUGUUAGAGUUUAUCUAAUAGAUUCUUUGAUCCUCAUUGUUUCUGGUAUCUAGUCCUAUCUGUUUGAACUUUGAAGGCAACACAAGCAAAUCUGUACAGUAAACCAGAUGUUCUUCCAACUUUGUAUCUUCUCUUUACACGUAUUGAAAUUAAGCGACAGCUAUGCCAUAUAAAGUAGAAAAUAGGGGUGUCAAUUGGUGACCCUUAGGUGCCCCUCCACCCUCUUUAGUUCAAAAUUUUGUAGUAAUUCUCCAAAAUGACGUCUCAUUUUAGAGAAUUAGUACAAAAUUUUGAACUAAACAGGGUUGGAGGGGCACCUAAGGAUCACCAAUUUGCACCCCUAGUAGAAAAAUAAAGACUACUAAAGACCAGUCGUACUCUUCUUGGGAUUUUCUCCAUCUUCGGUGCAUGAUGCCCCUGUGAAUAAUCUGAUUCUAAUCCAUACCAUGUGUCUUGUAAGUCUUGUGCCAAUAUUUUGGCAGUUAACCAUGAUUUGUCAUUUUAUUCAUCUUCUACGCAUGCACCAAUAUUUUGGCAGUUAACCAGGAUAUAUAAAAGUUUCAUACACCAAUAUAAAGUGAAACUUUUCUGGUGAGCAAAAGGACUGAAACAAUACUACCCACCUAAAUGUCAAAGUUCAAUCUAUUGUUGACUUUCUGCCAUAUAUCUAACUGGUUAAUAUGACUUGUGAUCAGGUAUCUCAAAUUGCCAGAUUGCUGAAAUUAUUUGUAAGUACGUUAAUCAUACUUUUUUUUGAAACUCAUUAUUCGUACGAUUAGAAACAUGUCUCAUUUCUGACCAAUGAAAAACAACCAGCUAGGCAACUCUGUUUGGCUAAAAGCCAGCUGCGCGAGGGCUGCCAAAAUAUUUAAAAUGAAUUGGCAAUCUCAACAAGUAAAGUGUUUGACAUUAAUUAUAUAUUGAUGUGCAACUAAUGUGAGUAAACGCUGGACUGAUUAUUGUUUAGAAGUAUUGCCUCCUUUAAAUGUUUUUUUUGUUCACCAGAUCUUUGGUUGAAUGUGUAUUAUUUCUGAUGCAGCCAGUUACACUCCCUCCAGUUCCUUCUAUAAGUCACUUUAGACUCAGCAUUUUAAACCCUUUUCUUCUUCUUAUGGCUUUGCUAAAUGAUAUCCUUCUAAUGAGCGAAUGAAUCAUGAUUCCUAAUCUGUGAAUAACUGAAGGGGUAAAAUAUCUUUUCAUCUACUUCCUGAACACAUGCACGUAAAAUCUAGGAUGAUCUAUAAUUGUUACCGGAAGUACCUAUCAUAUCAUUAUCAAGGAAUGACUUCGUGUAGUGGGCUUUCCUUUUCUGCUCUAUCUUUACAGCAAAUGUAUGGAGCUGAAAGUGACUAAAAUCUUUUUCAGGAAAACGAAAGGUAAUUUCCUAUAAGUUAUCUGCAAAUGUUUUUUUCUUAUGUAAUAGAUUGGCAGUUGAGUCACUUUCUUCAUUUGAAAAGAAAGUACUUGCUUUAUGUUUUUGGUCCUUCACUUAUAUCAACUAAUGUGGACAGUAUAUUUCCGUUGCUACUACUCUCCAUGGGUAGAGGAUUAAUAUGAAUUGUUUACACUAAUCCAAGAAAACGAUUGCUUAGCCUCCUAGCUAGAGUCUUAGGUGUUGUCACUGAUUAUUGAUCUGUCACUAUUUACAUGUGGGGAUCAACAAAUAAGUGUUGCUGUGGACAUUGACAUAUUCAUGAAAACCUUACAGAAACCACUAGUUUCUGUCAUUGUAUAUUUGAAAAUUCAAGCAGAACUAUACUGGAAUAUAUGUAAGAGAUUUAAACAUGCUGUCUGACGCCAGAAUCACAUAUUGCAAAGAUAUUACUUUACAUCAAAAUUUGAACUAAACAGUUUUAGGAUGAUGCUAGUCCUAAUGGAACAUUAUGAAAUAAAUAUGUAUUCAAAUCGGUGUGGUUCUUUCUUCAAAAAGAGAAAAUAAAAUAAAAUGGGGAUGCCUCCAUCUCUUUAAAGGCGAGGUUGACUCCAGAGGACAGGAUGGAGACUAGAUUCCGCAAUCCAUGACAUGCAUCGCAAUCGCAUUUCGCAAAGGUGACAUUGAUCUGCGUCUACAUGCUUUCAGGAGUUGUUCCUUCGCUGUUUUGGUCCGCGCUGUCUAUGGCUAGGAGGCUCGGCGCCCAGUCCCAGCAGGAGUCCCCUACACACUACUACAAGAUCAGUGGAUGGGGCCACCAUUGUCGAUAUUAGUGGAUGGCAGUUGGGCAGGUUGGCUACACUGCUUUGGUGGCAAUGGACACUUUUAGUAUGCUGGAUUUGACAUCCAAGAACCAGUUCGUUUUCAUCUGAGGGCCAACUUUCUUCAAAUUACUUUCAAAUAAGCUAUUCAGAUAUGUCUGCUGCUUGGCAAGCUCUAUUAGGCCCUACAAUCUCAUGGUAAAGGACCCAAAAUGGUUAGAUAUAACUCUGGUAUAUGCUUCAAAUUUGAGAUGUCUAUUUGACAUGCUGAAGUAAGGAAAUUUCAGAAGAUAGGAAUUUCAUAGGAUUUGCACGUGAGAACUAACUAGGAUUUUUAUUGUAAAAAAUGCCUUGUUUCUCAA